RNAcentral lists this ribosomal RNA (381 nucleotides) under uncultured eukaryote. Its description in RNAcentral is "partial 18S ribosomal RNA". It matches the Rfam family "Eukaryotic small subunit ribosomal RNA", at positions 592 to 976 of the family's 1831-position model. The record is from RNAcentral.
CAAUAGCGUAUAUUAAAGCUGUUGCGGUUAAAAAGCUCGUAGUUGGAUUUCUGUCAAGGACAACUGGUCCGCCCUCCGGGUGAGCACAUAGUUUGGUCUUGACAUCUUGCUGGAAGCUGUUGCUGCACUUGGCUGUGUGGCGCAGUGUUCAGCACUUUCACUUUGAGGAAAUUGGAGUGUUUCAAGCAGGCACAUGCCUUUGGACACAGUAGCAUGGAAUAAUUAGAUUGGGCUUUUGCUCCAAUUUGUCGGUUUCUGGAGCUGAGGUGAGUAUUAAUGGGGGUUGUUGGGGGCAUCCGAAUUUAGCCGUCAGAGGUGAAAUUCUUGGAUCUGCUAAAGACGGACAACUGCGAAAGCGUUUGCCCAGGAUGUUUUCAUUGA